RNAcentral lists this transfer RNA (70 nucleotides) under Dipodomys ordii (Ord's kangaroo rat). It matches the Rfam family "tRNA". Rfam says of the family: Transfer RNA (tRNA) molecules are approximately 80 nucleotides in length. Their secondary structure includes four short double-helical elements and three loops (D, anti-codon, and T loops). Lineage: Eukaryota; Metazoa; Chordata; Mammalia; Rodentia; Heteromyidae. The record is from Rfam by way of RNAcentral.
GGAAAUGUGACUUAGUGGUAGAGUAUUUGCCUAGCAUGCAUGAAGCCCCAGGUUCAAUUCCUCAGUACCA